UUGUCGUCAGCUCGUGUCGUGAGAUGUGGGUUAAGUCCCGCAACGAGCGCAACCCUACUUGUUAGUUGCCAUCAUUCAGUUGGGCACUCUAGCGAGACUGCCGGUAAUAAACCGGAGGAAGGUGGGGAUGACGUCAAAUCAUCAUGCCCCUUAUGACCUGGGCUACACACGUGCUACAAUGGCUGGUACAACGAGUCGCAAGUCGGUGACGGCAAGCUAAUCUCUUAAAGCCAGUCUCAGUUCGGAUUGUAGGCUGCAACUCGCCUACAUGAAGUCGGAAUCGCUAGUAAUCGCGGAUCAGCACGCCGCGGUGAAUACGUUCCCGGGCCUU
RNAcentral lists this ribosomal RNA (331 nucleotides) under uncultured Streptococcus sp. RNAcentral describes it as "bacterial SSU rRNA". It matches the Rfam family "Bacterial small subunit ribosomal RNA", at positions 1049 to 1382 of the family's 1533-position model. Lineage: Bacteria; Bacillati; Bacillota; Bacilli; Lactobacillales; Streptococcaceae. The record is from RNAcentral.